CCCAUCGAUGAAGAUGAUUUCAUCGUUUGUAUCCUUCAUGGUCUAGGGUCUGAGUUUGACCCUAUUGUAGCUACCAUUAAUGCACGAGACAUGUUUCCUCCUCUUGAAAGUGUAAUUAGUAAGCUCUACGAUUUGAAC
Carya illinoinensis is the source of this 138-nucleotide small nucleolar RNA. RefSeq annotates it as small nucleolar RNA Z247. The transcript has a single exon. The record is from RefSeq and is a predicted model, not a curated record. NCBI's taxonomy places the organism in Eukaryota, Viridiplantae, Streptophyta, Magnoliopsida, Fagales, Juglandaceae.